RNAcentral lists this transfer RNA (70 nucleotides) under Loxodonta africana (African savanna elephant). It matches the Rfam family "tRNA". From Rfam's summary of the family: Transfer RNA (tRNA) molecules are approximately 80 nucleotides in length. Their secondary structure includes four short double-helical elements and three loops (D, anti-codon, and T loops). Lineage: Eukaryota; Metazoa; Chordata; Mammalia; Proboscidea; Elephantidae. The record is from Rfam by way of RNAcentral.
GUAGUAGUGGUUCAGAGGCAGAAUCCUUGCCUUCUAUGCAGGAGCCCAGGUUAAAUUCCUGGCCAAUGCG